Molecule: small RNA, 5600 nt
Filed under: Rattus norvegicus (Norway rat)
Lineage: Eukaryota; Metazoa; Chordata; Mammalia; Rodentia; Muridae
Description: uncharacterized LOC102555623
Source: RNAcentral
UUUACUUUUUAAAUGUUUCUAUCACUAUGUUUCUAUCAUUCUUAAGAUGUACAACAAUAGUAUUUAGAAAAUAAAUAUAUCCAUUACUACAUGCCUGACAGCAUCCAGCACCACGUAGCAUUCUAAGUAGAAGUCUCAGAAGAGAACUGCAAUGGAAAGUGUAUGAGCUGUGUGGUUUGCAGCAUCAGCACCAAACCCAUCCAUCGUCCUGGAACAUGAGGAACAGUCCCUGGACUGACAAAUGAGUAGGCUGGCAAAGCAGAGUGAUCUCAUGUGACCACGACGAGCCUGUGAAGUAGGUCUUAACUAUCUUUGUUUUGUAGCAAGGAAACAGGCACACAGAGUUCAACAGUCAAGGUCACAAGCUAAGCAGCCAAGGUCACAGAGCUAAUCAAUACUGGGGGCAUUGAAUGAGAUCUUCUGGUUCUUCCCCCAGCCUGAUGCCCAUUCACGGAAGCUUCAUUUUCCGCAACCUUAACUUAACAGGACCCACUAUAUUCCUCCUGUAAAGGAGAAACCGUAAUUUAUAUGUCAUAAGUUAAAACAAAUGGCUGGAGAGAUUUUCCCUACAAUUGGAUUGCUCGUUUAUAAAUGCACAAAAUCUUAUAAUUCAACCGAUUUUGAAGAAGGAGAGAGGAGACACCAAUUGCUGGUAGUGGCCAGAGCAGAAAAUGAAAAAUGUCAAGGCCUGACUGAAUGUCUAUUCAUCUUCCCCUCUUUGUCCUGUGGGUGGUCAGCUGCUUCCUAUUUAACUAACAUUUACCUCACGACAACACACUUGCUUUUACACUGAGAGCUAUCACUAUAAAUCUGCUCGAUUGAUCUGUUAAACUAACAAAAUAGAAAUGGACUGCAAGUAGGAAAAUGAGCCCAAGCCCAACAGACUUUGAAAAUAGUAGAGGAGGGGGAUAAGACUCUGUGGCUGUGGAGCCCCACCCAUCCUCCUGGGUAACAGCAGAGCCCACAUCGGGGAACGGUUAUUUCAGACCAUGGCCCACAAGGCGCAGGUGAUAGAUACCUACUGCUGGCUGUUCCCUCCGGGCCCCACAUUCCUCCACCAACCUCGUGAUUCGCACAGGUUCCCGUUCUAAACCCAGGCUGGGCUCUGCACACAUAAUGUGCUCUCUCUCCUGAUCUUUGCUUUUCAGGGGAAGGCAAACAGAAACUGAAAGAUCAGGUCCUGGCUAAGAAAAAGAAGAUUUUCUUUCACUCUGGGCCAAAGGGGAGCACUGCUGAAACAUAAAAAUAAAAAUGAAAAAUGAAAAAUAAAGACAGCACCUUCACCGUCAGGGCCCUUUCAAACAGUAAAAUCUGUCUCUUUAUCCCAGCUCCUGCAGACACCAUCCAGGAGAAUCUGGGCAGAGCAGCACACCGACUCUGUUUGUUUGACUAGGUCUCUGACGGGUGAAGGUGUCACAUGACAGCCGUAUGGACAUCAGUCUCAGCAGCCUGGAAGACAUUUCCCCGACACUUUCAGAGGCCUGACUGAAUCACCAGUUCAAUGUUUUGUUUUGUUUUGUUUUGUUUUAAUCCAACCUGCUCUGAGUCAGGGGUCUUUUUCUUCAAAUUAACUUACUGACAGCACUGAAACCCUGACGGAAGGUUGAAUUUUUUUAAGGUAAAAAGUGAAUCGGAGGACAGUUUGAUAAGAAGGCCCAGAAGCUAUAAAUAUGUGCGUGAGAUCUGGGAGGACGUGGUCAUGCCCUUCCCAGCAAGCACACAGCGGAUUCACGGUGCUGUUUACUGAAGUGCUCUAAAUUUAGAAGAAGCAAGUCGAAUGGAGCCCUGCUCUGUGAGUCAGCCAAGAGCUAUCUGAUCCUCCCUUGCAGGGCCCGGUAGAGAAGAGAACUCUGAGGCCCCCAUGGGGGAAUCACCUCCAGGGGUUAUUCCUGUGACCAAACAUAGCCUUGCUGGUCAGAAAGUUUGCACGGCAGGGGGCUGCUCCUCUGUAUUAGGUCCUUCUAGCAGAGCAGACUCACCCACAGGCUGGAAGAGACAAAGGGUGAUGCUCUUGGGCAGUUCUGGCUGGCUUCCCGGUGCUUCAAACUUAUGGUACAACUGGUUGAAUCUUCUCUAGAGGUGAAGACCAUGAAUGAAUCUUCCAGGCUGGAUGCACAAGGCAUGGGUGACAGCCUGGAAUCCUGAAUCUUGAUCUGGUUUUUAAAACGCUGCAAAGGCCGAUGUGCUUAGAUUUUUAUGUAUAUGAAGUCUUUACAAUUGCAGAAUUGGUAUUUCUUCACCUGUGCUUCAAAAAUAACUUUUUUUAAUUUAAAAACUGCGUGACUCAGCACCUGAUAUUGCCACAUGGUUAAACUAAAUCCGUUUAAGACAAAAAGUGUCUCAAGAUGAAGCCCCGGCAGACUUGGAGACGCUCUGUGACCUCAUCUCCAUGCACUGCCUCUUUCCUGAGCACUGGGGCUGAAGGCACAUUUAUCACCCUGGAGUCGACAAUUGGCCCUAUCCCUCCAAGAUUCUGCAACCCUUUCCGUCUCGAGCUGAGGCCAUGGCCAGCUUCCUCCUAAGGAUUCUGUGACUUCCUUGGGAGCCCUAACCCUCUAGGAAUACGUCUUCGUCUGAAUUCCUUCGAAGUCAUUUGGUGAUUUCUAUUAAAAUAAAAAAGAAAGUACCCCAUGUACAUAAUAGUUAAUGGUAAACUGGUUGCCAAGGACAGCAUGAAUAUGGCUUAGGCCACUGCAUUCCAUAUUGUGCUCAAAGCCAGGGACAAACAGGCAAAAGGGCCAGAUAUGUGAAGAAGCAUGCAUAGUAUACUUUACAAGUGGCCUUCGUGUUUGUUAUAGCUUCAGUACCAAGAUGGGGUGGCAUCCAAAGAAGUAUGGUGGUGGAUCCGUAUACAGAAAUUUCCUUGAAACAUAAGAGGAUAAGAAUGAACAGCUUUUGAAAGAUGACUACCAAAUGACGCCAACCAGGAGCAAAAACCUUAAGCUUAAUUGCCUUGUAUUUUUAAUCUAAAUGGUGUAAAGAGGCUUCCUAGAAAUAAAUGCAAUAACAUCUUCAAAUGGCCAGGCAGAAGGUCGAAACAACGUUGUUUUCAAGAUUUUGACGAGAGAUCUACGUGUCACUAAUACAGGCAGGCUUCUGGCUGCUGUGCCUGUGGUAGAUGGAUCGAGCUAAGUGAUCGUGGGGUUACUCUCCUGGCACAUCAUUUCUACUCUCCGACAAAAUCCACCCGUCUAAGUUCCUCUCCCUGAAGGCUACAAAACCAGAAAGGCUUGGCUGAAUCUGUUUCGAAACACAAAUCCAGGAUUAGAGAAGAACUCUACUGUUUGGAAUAGUGGUGGACUCGAUUCUUUGGAAUAUCUUGGUGAGUGAAAUGAAGUCACCAGCAAUAUUUUCUCCACACUGGUCACCGUGGGAACCGAAAGCAGUGAAGCCCAGUGGACUGACAACUGAGACGAUGCAGAUGCCACAGUAUGGGGGUCUAGGGGGCCAUCCUAAGAUGGGUAACACUUUGCUCAGAAGCUGGGACACCUACUGCUUCCUGCCCAGAUACAUCCCUAAGUAAGGUGCUCAUUUCAACCCCUGUACACAAUUUAAAUUCUAUACCAUAAUAUAAGGAACGAGAAGCAUGAUUACUGCCUUUUAGAGGCCCCUCUAAAUACCACAGCAGAACCAGCCAGAUAGACAAAUCAUUUCACAAAAGAAACGCAGUAAAUGACAAAUAGGAAAUCAAAAGGGCCCAGGGUCUGACUGGGACAGAGAACACUACCACCAGCCUUUGUGGAUGUGAUUAUGGGUUCUGAUUCCCAUUGUCUAAUCAAGGCUGAAGUGGCCCCUUGGAAGCAGUGCCCAAGCGACACAGCUGAUUUCAAAUGGACUUGUUCCCAACAUGGACUUGGUACAAGUCGUGAGAUCUAAAGUCAGAGUUUGAAACAUAAACCUGUCUCUCUAAAGCCAAGCUUCUCGUUGAACCUAAGGGUUUUCCAUGGGUACCAAGUAAAGCACGGGGCUGGGGACAACCAAAUGUUGGUUGCAAAUAUGGUUAUUUUGCAAAUAUGUUAUUUUCUGAGUGUCGAUGUAUAUUCAUAUACACUGUUUGACAUUCAUUCUAUGCAGGGUUGCAUGGCCAUUAUCCUGAAAUGGGUCUUACAGGUGAUUCAAAUGGUUUUCAAGGAGGAUUUUGGCUCCCCUUACUUUUUGUGUUAAGAUACAUUUCAGUGUCCAGACCAGUGUCCAGCAUGGGACAUACUGAGAAAACAAGAACAUAGAUGUUGUCCAGCACCCAAGUACUGAUCCAGACCUGCUUGUUAAUACAGUGGUAUCUCUUCUGGGAUAAAGACAAGAGAUAAGUGUGUGUAGCCCCGAGCGUGUGAGCUUAGCAACUCAGAACUAGGAGAACGUAUUUCCAAGUUUGUAUUCACAUGGGAAAAUUUAUACGUAUUAGCUUGGAUGCGGAUGGCUUUCCUGUCUGUGUUUCUCUAUGUAGCCAGAAAAACCUUCUGGACUUGUUUCUAUUCCAAGAGGCUGCAUGAAUGGUAAAACAUACAGAUGCCAACUUGAGUCAUAUAGAAGGGAACACGUGUUUUCGGGACAUACUAAAAUAGCACAGUAAAAUCGGGCAGGUGUUUGAUCAGGGAAUACGAAACCGUCUUCUCCAAAGACUCUGGAGGUUUUUUUUACUUGAAUGUUUUCAGCAAAAUAAACGGUUACUAGGAAAACAUGCUGUAAACGUAAGAAGGGUCUGCUGGCUUGAAAUGUGGCUGGCUGAUUUCUCCUUCCUUUGUAAUCCCAUUAAGCUCGGUAGCAAAACUCAGCCCUCCUGGCAGCUCUUCUCACCCGCAGCUGCCGGCAGAAAGUGCUCAGUGCCCAGAGUAAAGUCUUCAUUGGUUAAUGACCCUUGACCUUUCAUAGGUGGUGUCUUCCGUGGCAACACUUAGCUUGGAGGCUCCUACAUGAUAUACAGACUGACCAAGAGACAGCAUGGAAUUUCGUUGGAGUCCAAGGCUGGCGUGAUAAAAGGGAAUUACACACCCAAAGAUGUCUAUUCUGGAUUGACUCAACUGUUGAGUUAAUUUUUUUUUUAUUUAGGAUAUAGUGAUUUCUAAUUUGUACUGAUAACAAUCUAUUAGAGUUCUAACUGAUCUUGGUUGUCCAGACAGAAGGCAAGCAAAAUUUAAAAGAUGAUUUUUGCUACUUUUGGGUCUUGUUUCUAAGAACUUUGAAUGUGGCUUUUAAAACAUCAUUAAUACUGCGUACGGGCUGAAGCAUUUAAUGCCUCAUUUAUAGAUCAUUCUUUCUAUUCAGCUAGCAAAAAUCUCCCUGAAUUUUGGCAGUUUGUCUCCAUUAAUUUCAAAUAAACAUUUUAACCACGGACUCAAUAGCACUGAGUGUGUGCUCGGACCCCACUCUCCAGCCAUUUGCAGGUUAGAUUGUUCCUAAAAUGGGCCAGACCCUUCUCUGGGCGGAAGAGGGAGAAAUGUGAGUGAAAGUGGUGGUGGGGGGAUACUAAUGAAGAAAGAAUGAAAAGUUUUACGUUUAUGAAGCCUUUUAUUGUCCGAAAUGUUGGGGGGGGGGAAACAAGUCAAACAUGAUCCUCCUCCUUGCUCUCACUCUUUAUUUCCCCACCAGGCCCCAGUCUCCCC